CUAUAAUUGAAAAGCUAUGUAACUGAUACAGAUGCUGCUUCAGAAGCUGAAUGAGCAGCAAGAUACUAAAGGAUUUAAUCUUCCCAGAAUAAAGUUUUUCCCUUGGAAUUGGAGAAAAAAUUUAGCCAAUUUCAGUUCUGUCUACAAUGAAGUUCCUACGACUUCAAGUUCCUGUUCAUUAUAACUCUCCUUUAACAUACAUCAGAAACUACAUAAUUGUACAUUAUAUCUAGUUUGAGCAAAUUUAUGUUCAAUACAUCUCGAUAAUGAGACAUUUCUGCUCAAUUUAUUUUGGUCUGCUACCUUUCUUCGUUAAAACUAGUUUGCAGUCUAGUCAAUAUAUUUACAAUCAUCCCAGAUAUCAAUGAAAUGCAGGUGCAAUUUUUGUGCAUGUAAAAUUAUGCGGAAUAAUAUUGCCCAUAACAGGCUCUACACAAAAAAAAAUUGUAGCUACUUCAUAUAUUAAAUUGUUUAUGUUCAUAAGCAAUAACAACAUAUAUUUGUAAGGACAACUAUUUUGUUGAAUAAAAGAAAAUGCUAGUUAAUGAUGUCGAUUAUGAUAAAAAUGUUAUAUACCCUUUAGCAUAAACAUGUUGUGUUAAUUUUUUUUCAUUUUCCAUGAACCAGUCUUUCGUGAGCACUCUCUAACCUUUAUUGUUUUGCUAGAAAGGUCAGUGAAAUUUCUAGAACAUGUUUGGUAGAGAUUUUAAUCCAAUUAAAAUUAAUUUUUUAACCGUUAUUUCAUUAUUUCAACCGUCAUUUUUUAAUUCUUUUCUCACAGGUAGGACCCACUUUACCUCUAACGGUCAAAAAAUCAAUUAACAAAAUCAUUACCAAACAAGCACCUAAAAUGGAAAGUGGAAAUCAUUUGUGAAUCUGACCAGAAAAGAAUGCAAGUUGAAGAUGAAAGAAUUGGAGAAACCAGAUUACCAAAUGAACAUUAAAAGAAGAUUGAUUGUGAAAGAAGCUUUAAGCAGGAAAAUCAACAGACUCUCCUUAUCUGUUAUGAAAUCCAAGAAAGAUGAAGGAAAUAGCAAAACCAAGAGCAAUGGACAAUAUGAAAGUGAUGACCAAAUGAUUUGAUGAUCAUGCAUUUGUCAAAUAAUGUUUGAAAUAUGCAUGUCUGCUAUUUUGGGUUUCCCCUCUGUUUAUUUAUUUAUUUUCAAUUUUUGGUGUGGUACUAUAAUAAAACUUUGCCC
Molecule: long non-coding RNA, 1199 nt
Filed under: Olea europaea subsp. europaea
Lineage: Eukaryota; Viridiplantae; Streptophyta; Magnoliopsida; Lamiales; Oleaceae
Source: RNAcentral